RNAcentral lists this long non-coding RNA (5994 nucleotides) under Homo sapiens (human). RNAcentral describes it as "HSALNT0310804". Lineage: Eukaryota; Metazoa; Chordata; Mammalia; Primates; Hominidae. The record is from RNAcentral.
GGGGCACGACUUGGCUCGCGUUGCUGCGGCGGCCGCUGCAGACCCUGCUCCAGGCGCCGUAGCCUUGCAGGAAGAGCAGACAAAGACAGGAGAGAGGCAAAGCGCCGCUUGCCCAGAGAUGCAGUCGGCUCAGUCAAUAGAGGGAAAUCGCCUCCAAACCCAGGCUGGGAAUGAGGGAGGAGGGGCGAGGCGGCUGGGGACUAGAAAAAGCAGCAGGGAAUUAACGUGACAGUCAGAGCCCAGCCAGUGCCUCGCCGGCGCUGCUCUCUCGCCUCGCGGUUGCGGGGUCCGGAAUGGAGAGAGGAGGCGGGGGCUGAGCGUUGGCUGCCGGAGACCAGCUGAGGAGAUUUUAGAACACAAACAUAGAUACAUGUGGAUAGCAGCCAAUACAGAGAGAGGGAGAGAGAAAAAGGAGGGAUCAGAAGCUAUAUUUGUAACUUUUGAUUAGUGAACUACAGAAGGAAGCCUAACACUGCAGGACCAUGACCUUCACAUCUACUUUAGUGGCCCCUCUGGGUCAGAGAUGGAUGAAAUGGAAAUGCAUUUCUCUGAGCCCAGGAAUUGAGUUUCUGAAAUCUGAAUCACUGGGGUGCCUGAAACUCUGCUGUCUAAUGGAUGAAUGGGUCGAAAAUGUGAAGAUAUGAUUACCAUGAAUCCUUUGUACAAGGUGAUCCAGUUAACUACUAAUAACAAACCAUCCUUAAACUUCUUGGCUUAAGAUAACAGCCAUCAUUUAUUUAGCCUGAAUCUAAAAUUUGGACAAGGCUCACUGAGUAAUGCGCACCUCUGAUCCACUUCCCACAUGGCUCGCCAUAUACCUGACAGGCUGUGUUGGCUGUUGGCUAUUGGUUGAGCAUCCGACAGGAGUUGAGAACCAGGGACCUUAGUUUCUCUCCAUGCGGGGCUCUCCCUGUGCAUCACACCAUAGGUUCUCAAAGACUUCCUCACCGCAUAGCGGUUGGGUUCACCAGGAGAGCUCCAACAGGGGUCAGACCCUUUCCAGAUAAUGAAAACCUGAACAAUUUAGCCUUAUCAAUUGUACAAAUUCAUCCAGUCUUCAAACAGUAUCAUAAAUUUUAGCCCAGAACACACCAGGCAAACUGAACCAGUGAACUAACGAAUCAUUUGAACGAUUUAGGCAAAUGGAUCAAUUUUUCUUUUAUAUGUUGAGAUAAUUUCAUCAACAAUUGGAGUCUUAGUCAAUUAAAUGAAUUCACAAUAGUUUCUAUAUUAAAAAAAUUAAUGAUGUCUUCACAUAGGGAAGACUAAAUUUCUCAUGGUAUUUUUAAAGGCCUCUGCAAUUUAACUCUCUUCCCAGUCCUAUCUCAUCACCUCCUCUAGUCUCUCAUAUUUAUCCAUCUUACCUGAGCCUUGUUUUGACUUGUAUUAGGGCUGAAUGUUGAGAAGUCUCCCUUUCUUACUAGACUCUAAGUUCCUUGAGAGCAGAGACUUUUUCAGUUUAUGUCCCCACAACCCUCAGCCCUGAGACAUGCAUGAAGUAUGUGCUUGAUAUACCUUUACUGAAAAAAUGAAUAAUUCAACAUCCCUUGGCUUUCUAAUUCAAUCAUUCAUUUUCCAAAAUGGCAAUAUUGGUCAUGAGUUACUUCACAGGGAAGCUAAUUAAUUCCCUGAAACUGGAAAAUGUUUUGAAGUUCCACAGUACUUUAGAAGCACACAGGAACAUUAAUAUGUGUAAUACAUACAUUAUUAUUACUUCCCUGACACAUAAAUGGUAAAUAAUCCCUUUUUAGUGUGUUUGUUUUGGAUGUACUGGACAAAUUUGCAGAAAGUAAUGUAUUGUUGGCUCAUUUCUACUAAUGGACACCUGUGUGGACUGAAUAAGAUGUGGUCUCUUCUAGCUCUAUUAUUUGUUUAUUUCUCCAACUUUCAGAGCCACUAUUUAUACAUGCUUCUUGCCAGAAAGGUGACCAUGACAUGAGAAUCGGCCUUCUUGGGGUUCUAUGUCUUAACAGAUAGUACGGGUACCUAUACAAUUCUAGGAGUGCCCCAGCCACAUAAUUACUGUGAUGUAACUACAAAGCUGCAUGAUCUAAUAGAGAAUCCUUGCCCCAAAGUGGAACUGUCUCUCCUCUGGAAAUUUUGUAUAAGAAAACUGGGAGGGUUGGGUUAACCUCUCUGGUAGCUAAAGCUGCAAGAUUUAAAUCAUAGGUGCAAUGAGCAGGUAUACUGUCUGCCAUGUGGAGAAAGCCAUACUGCAGUAUGAGUGAUAAAGCUGCCACACAGGUACAGACGUGAGAGACAGGGCAAUUCCCUGUAGCUUCUAUGCCCCUGGAUACAGCUAUUUAAAGGUCCAGCCAUGUCUCUGUUCUUCCCAUAGCUUUUUAUAUAUCCACUCAUUUCAAUAAGUUUCCCUUUUUACUUAAAGUCAUUCAAAUUUUCUUUCCAUCAUUUGGGACCCAAAAAAUUUCAACUAAUGCAACAUCAAAGAAAGAUUUGAGGAAUGACUCUCAGAAAAUGUUUAAUUAAAAGUUGGAGAGAAGUAUUUUGGGAUGCUUUGAUAUAAGGCUUACAUUUUUCAAAGUUAAAAGCCCAAAAGCAACAUAAACUGAACUAUUUUUCCAGACAGUAAAAAUAGGACCUUAAAUGUGAAAACAUGAUCCCAGUGUUUGUAAUUUACUAGAAUGUAGACUUCAUGAAGGCAGAGAUUUGGAUCCUUUGCUACUAUAUUCCAACAACUAGAAUAGAAUUCUACGUAGGGUAGGAUAUUAAUAUUUAUUGAAUAAGUUGAUGUAUUUCCUUGUUGCAUCUCUUUCUUAAUCCCAGUAGGAAUAUGAAAAAUUCUCAUUUAUUGAACUCAUGCUAUAAAACAGCCAUCGUGCUAAAAUGUUGUCAAAAUUUCAUUUUUUACCAGAUGUUGGGGUGGGGAUGGAGGGCAACUGUUCUCAUAGAUAAAACAGUUUGCUCAAGGGCACACAGGUUCUAUAUAUUGAGGCUAGGGGUUAAACCCAGGAUCACCUGUCUCCAAAACAUGUGUUUUUUCUACCAUCCCACAAUCACAUAUUAAUGUGUUCCUUUAUAGGGCAGAAAUCUUUCCUGAGGUAUUAAGAUGUAAGGCGUAGAGCUAGACUGGUAUUUUGCUUCAUAUAUAAUUGCAGCUUUAAAUAUCAAGGGUUUAAUGAAUAAAGAAUUAGUUCCCAUUUUAUAGACAAGUAAGUGGAGGUCUAUGGUGUUGCCUCAGUAUUCAUCAAUGUCUUCUCUGAAAGUCUUAUUAUGAGGAUGGAAGCUCCACUCUUGCUCCUCUUGCCUCCCCAUGAAGAGACUUCAUAACAUCUUAGUCUCUUGUAGCUGUUGCUGCUCUACCACACAGCUUCCAACUGCAAGGAAGCACCUGCUUCUCUAUGCCUGGUCUUUUGACGAGUGCCAGGGGACUUACUGCUCCAUUACCAAUAACUGAUGAGAAAUGAUGGAUAAAUAUCCCACAUGCAACUCCUCUUUUGAGAUGUCUCUAAGGCAUGUUGUACACUGUGCCCCAGAAGUCCUGUAUAUGAUUAAGCACUCGUUACACACAACACUAGCUUGCCCAAAAGCGAACCCUUUAUUGGCUUCUUUCCCAUCCUUGUCUCACUGCCCUAACUCUACCAGAAUUUUCCAAAUAAAUUUCUUGAAUUCACACCCUUAUCCCAAAGGUUUGCAUCUGGGAUACCCCCAACUAAGGCAUCUCUCUGGCCCAUUCACUCUUGAACUCUAAAAGAGAGGGUCAAAUUACCUGAUUGAUCAGUUUAAAAGAAGACACUGAAAAUUAUCCUUACAUUUAUCUCUUUUGAAGAUAUCAAGUACAUAGGACACAAACGUGUUCAGACUGCACCCUGCCAUGUGCUUAAGGACUUGCACUUUGGGGAAGGUCUUAGUCACUGAAUGAACAAGUCAGUUUACUUCAAAAGUAAGGUAUUAGGACAUAUCAAAGUCCUUAUAGAUCUAAAAUCACGUUUCCAAUCAACUUUAUUUGCAAUACAGUGGACAUUUUAAUUUCCAUCAAAAUUAGCUUCACAUGAUUCAUAAUAGCCAAAAGGUAGAAACAACCCAAAUGUCUCCAUCAACUGACAAAUGGAAAGAGAAAAUAUAUUAUAGCCAUAUAAUGAAAUAUUACUUGGCCAUAAAAAGAGAUGAAGUACUGAUACAUGCUAUAGCAUGGAUAGACCAUGAUACUAUGGUAAGUAGAAUAAGAAGCCAGUCACAAAAGAUCACAUAUUGUGUUAUUCUAUUCACAUGAAAUGUCUGGGACAGAGAAAUUUACAGAGACAGAAAGUAGAUUAGUGGUUGCUUAGGGCUGUGGUAUGAGUUGGAGAUGAAAAACAUGAUAACUAAAGAGUGUGAGGUUUCCUUUUGAGGUGAUAAAAAUGUUUUAACAUUGACUGAAGUGUUGGUUGUCCUAUAUCUAUCAAUAAAAGCCAUUGAAGUGUAUUCUUUAAGUAGAUGAAUUAUGUCUCAAAAAAGUGGUAAAAGCUAGCCCCACGUGGUGAUGCAAAAUGUUAAUGUUGUGUGAAAGAUACAUGACAGCUCUGUGCUAUCUUUGCAACUCCUCUGUAAAUAUAAAACAGUCAUCUCUUAAGGUUGUAAUAAUCAAUUGAGAUAUUAUAUAUGACACCACUGUACCUGGCAAAUACUCUCUUUCCCCCUCCUCCUUCUCCCUCUAACUAAAAUAGGGACCCAUGUGGAGAUAUAUAUAUAUACACACACAUAUAUAUAUACACACAUAUAUAUAUAUACACACACACACACAUAUAUAUGUAUAUAUAUACACAUGUAUAUAUAUGUGUGUGUAUAUAUAUGUAUGUAUACAUAUAUAUAUAGAUAUAUGGACAGCACCACGUCUGCUUCUGAGGCAUCUGAUUUUUUUUCCCUAAAAUCUCCAUUAUCCUUUAUGUCCUCUUGUUACUUUACGGGUGUAACAUUUGGCCCGAUAAGGUGUAGUUAAUAUCCCUAUUACUACAAUUUAAUAGACAUAAUAAGCCAAUUCAGUUUUCAAUGCCAGAGAUUUGGGCAAAAAAUAAAGCAGGGUGACAUCAAUAACUGAUGCCAGUGUGGCCCUUCUCAGCAAUUGUUUUUUUCUUGUUUCUUUUGCACCCCAUCAUAGCUAUUUUUGUUAUUUAUGUGUGUUUUAUGAAAAUGGUAGCAUUCCACCAGAUCCACAUGUAAGCCUCGAGUUGCUGAUGCAGGCUUUCCUUCCUCCUUCUGUAGAACUUGUGAAAGCCAGCACAAUAUUUCUGUUAGUUGGUCUGGAGUCAAUUCUGUUUCUAAUUAUGGGGUUUAUUUUCUUCUUUUGUUGUAAAGUUUUCUCCACUCCCUGGGGGUGUUUCAAGGAUUUGACAAGGAAGCUUUCCCUAUGGUCCUGAUUUCAUCGUAGAAGCCAAGGGUGUGGAGGAAAUGCCCUUGCUGGAGUGGAGGCGGAGGUUUCAGUCCUCUUUCUAAACUUAAAAGGAACUAAGGAAACCAGAGACAAGCCAUCUAAUCCCUUCAGGCUUCAGUGUUUUCUUCCGUAAAAUGAGAGGAUUGGCUUGAAUGUCUCUAAAGUUUCACUCAGGCCUGACAUUCUCUCAAAAUGCAAGCAUUUUCCUGAAGUUUACUGACAAGCAGUUGCCAAACACCAGAAGAGUGCUGAUAUGUUGCUAGCUAAUAUUAUCUCUCAUCUGUUUGCAGCAUUUUGCUCGGAGAUCAUCAGUGAGAGCAGUUCAGUGUUCUGAUGUCUGCUCUGAGGAAAGCUUUAGAGAACACAGGAACAGGGAGUGAUACAGAGGGUAGAUUCCUCCAACAUGAGUACAGAUGAUGUUGCUCUGUUAUGAUGUUCAUGCAGACACAGAGAGACCAACCGAAGGCUAGUCUUAGUGGCUGAAAGAUGAGUAUUACAUAAGUGCAAUUUUACUUUCUGCGUUAAUCUUUGCUGAGGUAAUUGUCUUCAUUCUAUUUUCAGUGUGUUGUUGGCAGUGUUGCAUGGCCUACUGACAGUUGCUCAAUAAAAAUAGAGAUCUUACCCUA